Molecule: ribosomal RNA, 246 nt
Filed under: uncultured bacterium
Lineage: Bacteria
Description: partial 16S ribosomal RNA
Rfam family: Bacterial small subunit ribosomal RNA
Source: RNAcentral
AUACGUAGGUGGCAAGCGUUGUCCGGAAUUACUGGGUGUAAAGGGAGCGUAGGCGGGAAUGCAAGUUGAAUGUUAAAACUAUGGGCUUAACCCAUAUCUGCGUUCAAAACUGUAUUUCUUGAGUGAAGUAGAGGUAGGCGGAAUUCCGAGUGUAGCGGUGAAAUGCGUAGAUAUUCGGAGGAACACCAGUGGCGAAGGCGGCCUACUGGGCUCUAACUGACGCUGAGGCUCGAAAGUGUGGGGAGC